Molecule: ribosomal RNA, 492 nt
Filed under: uncultured bacterium
Lineage: Bacteria
Description: partial 16S ribosomal RNA
Rfam family: Bacterial small subunit ribosomal RNA
Source: RNAcentral
AUUGAACGCUGGCGGCAGGCCUAACACAUGCAAGUCGAACGGUAACAGGAAGCGGGUUGCUGCUUCGCUGAGGAGUGUCGGGCGGGUGAGUGGAGUCUAGCAAGCUGUCCGAUGGAGGGGGGGAAAACCUGGAAACGGUAGCUAUUAUAGCACAUAGUCGCAACGCGUAAGAGCGGGGCAUCUUCGGCCCUUGCGCUCUUGUAUGAGCCGAUGUGGGAUUAGCUAGUUGGUGGGGUAAAGGCCCACCAAGGCGACGAUCCGUAGCUGGUCUGAGAGGAUGACCAGCCACACUGGAACUGAGACACGGUCCAGACUCCUACGGGAGGCAGCAGUGGGGAAUAUUGCACAAUGGGCGCAAGCCUGAUGCAGCCAUGCCGCGUGGAUGAAGAAGGCCUUCGGGUUGUAAAGUACUUUUGGCGGGGAGGAAAAGAGGAAAGUUAAUACCUUGCCGUAUUGACGUUACCCGAAGAAGAAGCACCGGCUAACUCCGUG